UGGGGCAGUUUCAAGCCCCGCAAAUAAUAACCAUUUUGGGUACCUUAUGAAGGUUGACCUCGAUGUGAUAGCUUAGAUAAUAAAAAAUAACUUAGCCAUGGUGCUGAACAGAGAUUGUCAUGGAUUAUGCAAAUCUGCUUGUAAACACUCUGUAAAUUGCAUCACGUGAAAAGAAUUUUAUCCUUGGCAAUGCAUUAAUAAGUUUGAGUGAUUUAUAAUCUAUUAACCUGCAGUGUAGUUUGAGUGAUUUAUAAUCUAUUAACCUGCAGUGUUGGUUCAUUAAUUUGAUGAUUGCAUCACAUUAUUAGAAGUAAUAUAUUAGUUUCUUAAAGUUGACUAUCUCUUGUAUGAUAAAAUUCUUUUUAUUUUGGC
RNAcentral lists this long non-coding RNA (372 nucleotides) under Daucus carota (carrot). RNAcentral describes it as "long non-coding RNA (DCAR_LNC003718)". Lineage: Eukaryota; Viridiplantae; Streptophyta; Magnoliopsida; Apiales; Apiaceae. The record is from RNAcentral.